AAUUUUAGGACUUCAACCGGUCAUUUGUUGCACUUACUAUUACUAUGAUUUUUCUCUAGCUUUCAUUUAGCAUUAAGUUAUCCAGUGUAUAUUAUGGCACUAAACUGACCUUCCCAUCCGAGCAGCUGAAUUCCGAUGCUGCGUUGAAGAAAGACUCAUCAAACUUAGAUAGAUCGGUUUGUCUUCUGAAAACUCUAAACUCACCGAAAUUUAUAUUCCAUUUUCUUCCAUUAUAAGACCUAGCUUAGUGUUCAAUUCUUGCAGGAACCCAAGUGAAUAAUAGAGUCAAAGUGAGGAUGCAAUCUUCCUUAGAAAUGCAGAUUUUCAAGGAUCGAUGGACUGAUGCAGCAAAGAAUGACAGAUGUUGGAUCGACCCUUAUCCGUAAUUA
Cucumis sativus (cucumber) is the source of this 389-nucleotide long non-coding RNA. RefSeq lists it as uncharacterized. The record is from RefSeq and is a predicted model, not a curated record. The transcript has 2 exons. Lineage: Eukaryota; Viridiplantae; Streptophyta; Magnoliopsida; Cucurbitales; Cucurbitaceae.